CCUACGGGAGGCAGCAGUGAGGAAUAUUGGACAAUGGGCGGGAGCCUGAACCAGCCAAGUCGCGUGAGGGAAGACGGUCCUAUGGAUUUUAAACCCUUUUAGGCGGGAAGCAAGGCCGGGCACGCGUGACCGGAGGGAGAGUACCCGCAGAAUGAGCAACGGCCACCUCGGUGCAAGCAGCCGCGGUAAGACGGGGGAUGCGAGGGUUAUCCGGAUUUAUUGGGGUAAAGGGAUGGGUAGGCGGACUUUAAAGUCAGCGGUAAAACGUCGGGGCUAAACCCGGGCCGGCCGUUGAAACUGGUGAUCUUGAGUGGGCGAGAGGUAUGCGGAAUGCGUGGUGUAGCGGUGAAAUGCAUAGAUAUCAGGCAGAACUCCGAUUGCGAAGGCAGCAUACCGGCGACCGACUGACGCUGAGGCACGAAAGCGUGGGGAUCGAACAGGAUUAGAUACCCUUGUAGUC
Molecule: ribosomal RNA, 460 nt
Filed under: uncultured bacterium
Lineage: Bacteria
Description: partial 16S ribosomal RNA
Rfam family: Bacterial small subunit ribosomal RNA
Source: RNAcentral